This 460-nucleotide ribosomal RNA is filed under the name uncultured bacterium. RNAcentral's name for it is "partial 16S ribosomal RNA". It matches the Rfam family "Bacterial small subunit ribosomal RNA", at positions 338 to 795 of the family's 1533-position model. The record is from RNAcentral.
CCUACGGGUGGCAGCAGUGAGGAAUAUUGGUCAAUGGCCGGAAGGCUGAACCAGCCAAGCCGCGUGAAGGACGAAGGCUCUAGGCAUUGUAAACUUCUUUUGUAAAGGAACAAAAUUAGGCUCGAGUGCCUGACCGCGGGUACUUGAAGAAUAAGCAUCGGCUAACUCCGUGCCAGCAGCCGCGGUAAUACGGAGGAUGCGAGCGUUAUCCGGAUUUGUUGGGUUUAAAGGGAGCGUAGAUGGGGUGUUAAGUCAGGUGUGAAAGGCCGGGGCUCAACCCUAGGAUAGCGUUUGAAACGGGCUGUCUUGAGAGCAGGAGAGGUAGGCGGAAUGCGCAGUGUAGCGGUGAAAUGCUUAGAUAUUACGAAGAACACCGAUUGCGAAGGCAGCUUACUGGCGUGGAACUGACGUUGAGGCACGAAAGCGUGGGUAUCAAACAGGAUUAGAUACCCGUGUAGUC